AAGCAAAAGAAAAAAAAAAAAAAAAAAAAAAAAAAAAAAAGAAAAAAAAGGAAAAAAAAGGAGAAGAAGAAAAAGAAGAAAAAAAAAAAACAAAGGAAUAAAACGAGGUUAAAGUAUCAAUUGACGAUACGACUUAAUUUCGUAAUAUCGGUUGUACAUUUAAACAGGUGUACAUAUGUACAUAUGUACGUACGAACGUGCUAAUCGUUAUGGGAAGAAACUUCGACGAAGGAAGACGUUCGUAUUUUUAGCAACGUAUUUACAUUCUUGCCUUCUCAAGGGCGAGCCUCCGUUCGUGCUUCUGCCCGGAAACACGAUAUUCUGCUAGCGAGUAAGAAGGCCCGAGUUCGAGAUCGGCCCGAUCCAUAGAAGAAGAUCCUAUCGAUUGAUGCGUACCUUCUUUUCUAUGGAGCAGUGUGAGGACCGUGGACGUUCAAAGAGAGUUGAUUCAAGAGAAUAAAUCCCACAGGAUUACAUCCCUUUUCGGUGCCGAAGGGAACUAUCUGACAGUAAAUCUUGACGAGGUUGCAGAAGAAAAGAGACAGCAGUAAUAGUAGCUGACAGUCAUAGUAGUAGUAGUAAUAGUAGUAGUAGUAGAGAGAACGAGAGAGAUAGAGCGUGGAUUGGUUGAUGGAUUAUUCGAAACGCAUCUUUGACAUUACUGUAAAGACAUGGCCAAACGUGGACAGACGUGGCAAUGGAUCGUAGAGAGACAGAAAACGUUUCUUUCUAUUCGGCCCUUCUUCGCCAUCUUCUUUUUCUACUUGUCUUUCUCCUUCAUUAUUGUUCAACGUGCCAGAGGAAAAACUUACAUCUUUUUCUACAAACUUUUUCAUUUUUUUUUUGCAAUAAUUUAAAUUUCUUAAACGAAUUAAAUCAAUGUGAUUAAUAGAAAGAAGGAAUUAAUUAUAGGUAUCAAUGAAAAUGAGAUAAAUAUAGAUGAUGUAUGGAUCAUUUUUCAUAUAUCUUUAUAUCCUUUUAGGAAUUUAAUUUUUUCAUUCGGAGAUCUUUUAAACGAAUCUUUUUAUUUGGCUUUAAUAACGAAGGCAAGGCUUUUCGAAUAAACGUUUAUGCGUAUACGGGUAACCAAUCGAUUUUAUUACUCUUGAUUUCCUAUGAAACUCGAUCACGGUGAGAAACAAACGACGUCAGACGGUCGAUUUAGCAAAGAUCGUAUAAAUAAAAGCUCGAUGGAAUUUCUAGUGGGAGAGUUUUCUUUCAAAUUUUCCCUAUAUGAAAAGAUACGAUUACGAUGAAGCUUCGUGGAUUUUUGUUAUUAAAUUUAAUUAUACGCGAUAUUAUAACUUUCAAUGGAAGUUCUCGAAGGGUUACAAAAAUAUGAUUAUCCCAAUGGUUCAGCUAAAAUACGAUGUUAGAAAUUAGUUUUAGAUAUUUAUGUCGACUCGCAAUCUUACUGACAAGGAUAAAUAUGUUGGUCCAUUAAAAAGACGAUGAAUAGGGAAAGAUGGAAACGAAGGAGGUGGCUAAGUUGAUUCGAGCAUGCGCGUCUCCACGCCCUUCUCUAUCUCUGUGUUCCUCUUAUCCGUCACUACCGUGCGAAUAACCGGAUGGUGGAUGACCGCGAACGCAAGGUCAACCAGCGUCUAUCUUCGUUGGAAGAAAAUUUGUCGUUUCUAAUGUCAUUGGACACGUUCACAUUUCUAUCCUGAGAUUUCUCCUCUUCUUCUUUUAUUUUUUUUUUUUUUUUUUUUUUUUAUAAAUCCAAUUCCAAAUAAAAAUUUCUAUAUUU
Molecule: long non-coding RNA, 1750 nt
Organism: Vespa velutina
Lineage: Eukaryota; Metazoa; Arthropoda; Insecta; Hymenoptera; Vespidae
Exons: 2
Source: RefSeq, a predicted model, not a curated record